AGAGUUUGAUCCUGGCUCAGGACGAACGCUGGCGGCGUGCCUAAUACAUGCAAGUCGAGCGGAGUCUAGGUGGAAGCUUGCUUCCACCUGGGCUUAGCGGCGGACGGGUGAGUAACACGUAGGCAACCUGCCUGUAAGACCGGGAUAACUCACGGAAACGUGAGCUAAGACCGGAUAGAUGAGCGCUUUGCAUGAAGCGC
This 200-nucleotide ribosomal RNA is filed under the name uncultured bacterium. Its description in RNAcentral is "partial 16S ribosomal RNA". It matches the Rfam family "Bacterial small subunit ribosomal RNA", at positions 8 to 198 of the family's 1533-position model. The record is from RNAcentral.